AAAGUCGUAACAAGGUUUCCGUAGGUGAACCUGCGGAAGGAUCAUUACACUCAGUAGUUUACUACUGUUAAGGGGGCUGUUAGUCUGUAUAGCUUAAUCGCUGAUGAGCAGCAGGCCUUCUUUCCACACCCUUGUCUUUUGCGUACCCAUGUUUCCUCGGCAGGCAAGCCUGCCGAUUGGACAAUUUAUAACCUUUUUAAUUUUUAAUCAGCGUCUGAAAAACUUAAUAAUUACAACUUUCAACAACGGAUCUCUUGGUUCUG
RNAcentral lists this unclassified non-coding RNA (263 nucleotides) under Ascomycota sp. Its description in RNAcentral is "partial contains small subunit ribosomal RNA, internal transcribed spacer 1, and 5.8S ribosomal RNA". The stretch from base 1 to 47 matches the Rfam family "Eukaryotic small subunit ribosomal RNA", at positions 1785 to 1831 of the family's 1831-position model. Lineage: Eukaryota; Fungi; Ascomycota. The record is from RNAcentral.